AGAGAGUAAGAAAAAAGAAUUAGAGAAGAAGGAAGAAUAAGAUAAAGUUGCACUGUUAAAAUACAGCUACACUAUUUUAAAAGAAAAUUAUACUAUUAUAGACGUAAGUUGCACUCUUUGAGAUAUAAAUUAUACAAUUAAUAUGAAAGUUACACCAUUUAAAUAAAAAUUGCACUAUUUGGGAGAUAAUUAAUUUUUUCUCCCAAAAAGCAUUCUUUAAGAUAAAAACUACACUCUUUAAACAAAAGUUGCACUAUUGAAAGAUAGUUACACUAUUUUUUCUUUCAAAGAACACCCUUUAAGAUGAAAAUUACACUUUUUAAACGAAAGUUGCAAUAUUUGGGAGAUAGUUAUAAUAUUUCUCCUCUCAAUAAGUGUAUUUUUUGUUAAAAGAGUGUAACUUUUAUCUUAAAAGGUACAAUUUAUAUCUUAAAGAGUGCAACUUAUAUAUUCUUCUAAAAUAGUAU
RNAcentral lists this long non-coding RNA (467 nucleotides) under Ananas comosus (pineapple). RNAcentral's name for it is "long non-coding RNA (ACOM_LNC028404)". The record is from RNAcentral. Lineage: Eukaryota; Viridiplantae; Streptophyta; Magnoliopsida; Poales; Bromeliaceae.